UGAGCACCUAGCUGUGGAAGGUGAGAUUGUGUUUCACAAGUAGCUAAAAAAUCCUAAUAAGUUUUAUCCAUACAAGAAGAAUAUAAUCUGAAUUUCAAUUCAAAAGUACUAAAAAUCAGUCUUCUUAGUAGCCUUAACCAUACAUAAAUCCCAAUUACCUUAUUACUUUCAUAUUUAAGCAAUUUAGAUUUUUCUUAUAAGCUCUAAUCCUAAUCAAUGAGCUUUAACAAGUUGUAACAUCCAAUCUGACUAUCCACUUGAUGUAAAAUUUUGCAUACAAUUGUCAAUGUAAGUCUUCUAUAUGCUCA
RNAcentral lists this long non-coding RNA (308 nucleotides) under Physcomitrium patens. RNAcentral's name for it is "long non-coding RNA (PPAT_LNC001589)". The record is from RNAcentral. Lineage: Eukaryota; Viridiplantae; Streptophyta; Bryopsida; Funariales; Funariaceae.